UACGUAGGGGGCAAGCGUUGUCCGGAAUCAUUGGGCGUAAAGAGCGUGUAGGCGGCCCGGUAAGUCCGCUGUGAAAGUCCAGGGCUCAACCCUGGGAUGCCGGUGGAUACUGUCGGGCUCGAGUCCGGAAGAGGAGUGUGGAAUUCCUGGUGUAGCGGUGAAAUGCGCAGAUAUCAGGAAGAACACCCGUGGCGAAGGCGGCUCUCUGGGACGGUACUGACGCUGAGACGCGAAAGCUAGGGGAGCAAACGGG
This 253-nucleotide ribosomal RNA is filed under the name uncultured bacterium. RNAcentral's name for it is "partial 16S ribosomal RNA". It matches the Rfam family "Bacterial small subunit ribosomal RNA", at positions 524 to 776 of the family's 1533-position model. The record is from RNAcentral.